RNAcentral lists this ribosomal RNA (270 nucleotides) under uncultured prokaryote. Its description in RNAcentral is "partial 16S ribosomal RNA". It matches the Rfam family "Bacterial small subunit ribosomal RNA", at positions 524 to 792 of the family's 1533-position model. The record is from RNAcentral.
UACGUAGGUGGCAAGCGUUAUCCGGAAUUAUUGGGCGUAAAGAGCGCGCAGGUGGUUGAUUAAGUCUGGUGUGAAAGCCCACGGCUUAACCGUGGAGGGUCAUUGGAAACUGGUCGACUUGAGUGCAGAAGAGGGAAGUGGAAUUCCAUGUGUAGCGGUGAAAUGCGUAGAGAUAUGGAGGAACACCAGUGGCGAAGGCGGCUUCCUGGUCUGUAACUGACACUGAGGCGCGAAAGCGUGGGGAGCAAACAGGAUUAGAUACCCGGGGUA